Molecule: transfer RNA, 83 nt
Filed under: bacterium
Lineage: Bacteria
Description: tRNA-Leu
Rfam family: tRNA
About the family: Transfer RNA (tRNA) molecules are approximately 80 nucleotides in length. Their secondary structure includes four short double-helical elements and three loops (D, anti-codon, and T loops). Further hydrogen bonds mediate the characteristic L-shaped molecular structure. tRNAs have two regions of fundamental functional importance: the anti-codon, which is responsible for specific mRNA codon recognition, and the 3' end, to which the tRNAs corresponding amino acid is attached (by aminoacyl-tRNA synthetases). tRNAs cope with the degeneracy of the genetic code in two manners: having more than one tRNA (with a specific anti-codon) for a particular amino acid; and 'wobble' base-pairing, i.e. permitting non-standard base-pairing at the 3rd anti-codon position.
Source: RNAcentral
GCCGAAGUGGCGGAAUGGUAGACGCGGCAGACUCAAAAUCUGUUGCCCGCAAGGGCGUGGGGGUUCAAGUCCCCCCUUCGGUA